Molecule: ribosomal RNA, 404 nt
Filed under: uncultured Acidovorax sp.
Lineage: Bacteria; Pseudomonadati; Pseudomonadota; Betaproteobacteria; Burkholderiales; Comamonadaceae
Description: bacterial SSU rRNA
Rfam family: Bacterial small subunit ribosomal RNA
Source: RNAcentral
AUUGAACGCUGGCGGCAUGCCUUACACAUGCAAGUCGAACGGUAACAGGUCUCGGAUGCUGACGAGUGGCGAACGGGUGAGUAAUACAUCGGAACGUGCCCGAUCGUGGGGGAUAACGGAGCGAAAGCUUUGCUAAUACCGCAUACGAUCUACGGAUGAAAGCAGGGGACCGCAAGCCUUGCGCGGACGGAGCGGCCGAUGGCAGAUUAGGUAGUUGGUGGGAUAAAAGCUUACCAAGCCGACGAUCUGUAGCUGGUCUGAGAGGACGACCAGCCACACUGGGGACUGAGACACGGCCCAGACUCCUACGGGAGGCAGCAGUGGGGAAUUUUGGACAAUGGGCGCAAGCCUGAUCCAGCCAUGCCGCGUGCAGGAUGAAGGCCUUCGGGUUGUAAACUGCUUUU